UGUAUGUAGCUCAGGGGUAGAGCGCUUGCCUUGUAUGUGUGAGGUACUAGGUUCAAUUCUCAGCACUACAU
This 71-nucleotide transfer RNA is filed under the name Marmota monax (woodchuck). It matches the Rfam family "tRNA". From Rfam's summary of the family: Transfer RNA (tRNA) molecules are approximately 80 nucleotides in length. Lineage: Eukaryota; Metazoa; Chordata; Mammalia; Rodentia; Sciuridae. The record is from Rfam by way of RNAcentral.